RNAcentral lists this ribosomal RNA (479 nucleotides) under uncultured bacterium. RNAcentral's name for it is "partial 16S ribosomal RNA". It matches the Rfam family "Bacterial small subunit ribosomal RNA", at positions 28 to 507 of the family's 1533-position model. The record is from RNAcentral.
GAUGAACGCUAGCGGGAGGCCUAACACAUGCAAGCCGAGCGGUAUUGUUUCUUCGGAAAUGAGAGAGCGGCGUACGGGUGCGUAACACGUGUGCAACCUGCCUUUAUCUGGGGGAUAGCCUUUCGAAAGGAAGAUUAAUACUCCAUAAUAUAUUGAACGGCAUCGUUUAAUAUUGAAAGCUCCGGCGGAUAGAGAUGGGCACGCGCAAGAUUAGCUAGUUGGUGAGGUAACGGCUCACCAAGGCGAUGAUCUUUAGGGGGCCUGAGAGGGUGAUCCCCCACACUGGUACUGAGACACGGACCAGACUCCUACGGGAGGCAGAAGUGAGGAAUAUUGGUCAAUGGGUGCAAGCCUGAACCAGCCAUCCCGCGUGAAGGACGACUGCCCUAUGGGUUGUAAACUUCUUUUGUAUAGGGAUAAACCUACCCUCGAGAGGGUAGCUGAAGGUACUAUACGAAUAAGCACCGGCUAACUCCGUG